This 90-nucleotide unclassified non-coding RNA is filed under the name Pseudomonas sp. A214. Lineage: Bacteria; Pseudomonadati; Pseudomonadota; Gammaproteobacteria; Pseudomonadales; Pseudomonadaceae. The record is from RNAcentral.
UGUGGGAGCGAGCCUGCUCGCGAUAGCGGUGUAUCAGCCAACAUUCGUGGCGACUGAAACACUGCUAUCGCGAGCAGGCUCGCUCCCACA